AGUGAACGCUGGCGGUAGGCCUAACACAUGCAAGUCGAACGGCAGCACAGUAAGAGCUUGCUCUUACGGGUGGCGAGUGGCGGACGGGUGAGGAAUACAUCGGAAUCUACUUUUUCGUGGGGGAUAACGUAGGGAAACUUACGCUAAUACCGCAUACGACCUACGGGUGAAAGCAGGGGAUCUUCGGACCUUGCGCGAUUGAAUGAGCCGAUGUCGGAUUAGCUAGUUGGCGGGGUAAAGGCCCACCAAGGCGACGAUCCGUAGCUGGUCUGAGAGGAUGAUCAGCCACACUGGAACUGAGACACGGUCCAGACUCCUACGGGAGGCAGCAGUGGGGAAUAUUGGACAAUGGGCGCAAGCCUGAUCCAGCCAUACCGCGUGGGUGAAGAAGGCCUUCGGGUUGUAAAGCCCUUUUGUUGGGAAAGAGAAGCAGCAGGUUAAUACCCCGCUGUUCUGACGGUACCCAAAGAAUAAGCACCGGCUAACCUCGUG
Molecule: ribosomal RNA, 492 nt
Filed under: uncultured bacterium
Lineage: Bacteria
Description: partial 16S ribosomal RNA
Rfam family: Bacterial small subunit ribosomal RNA
Source: RNAcentral